RNAcentral lists this ribosomal RNA (253 nucleotides) under uncultured bacterium. Its description in RNAcentral is "partial 16S ribosomal RNA". It matches the Rfam family "Bacterial small subunit ribosomal RNA", at positions 524 to 776 of the family's 1533-position model. The record is from RNAcentral.
UACAGAGGGGGCAAGCGUUGUUCGGAAUUACUGGGCGUAAAGGGCGCGUAGGCGGCCUUCUAAGUCGAACGUGAAAUCCCCGGGCUCAACCCGGGAACUGCGUCCGAGACUGAAAGGCUUGAAUCCGGGAGAGGGAUGUGGAAUUCCAGGUGUAGCGGUGAAAUGCGUAGAUAUCUGGAGGAACAUCGGUGGCGAAGGCGGCAUCCUGGACCAACACUGACACUGAGGAGCGAAAGCCAGGGGAGCAAACGGG